This 460-nucleotide ribosomal RNA is filed under the name uncultured bacterium. Its description in RNAcentral is "partial 16S ribosomal RNA". It matches the Rfam family "Bacterial small subunit ribosomal RNA", at positions 338 to 795 of the family's 1533-position model. The record is from RNAcentral.
CCUACGGGCGGCAGCAGUGAGGAAUAUUGGUCAAUGGGCGCGAGCCUGAACCAGCCAAGUAGCGUGAAGGAUGACUGCCCUACGGGUUGUAAACUUCUUUUAUAAAGGAAUAAAGUGAGGAACGUGAGCCUUUUUGUAUGUACUUUAUGAAUAAGGAUCGGCUAACUUCGUGCCAGCAGCCGCGGUAAUACGGAGGAUCCGAGCGUUAUCCGGAUUUAGUGGGUUGAAAGGGAGCGUAGAGGGGUUGUUAAGUCAGAUGUGAAAGUUUGCGGCUCAACCGUAAAAUUGCAAUUGAUACUGGCAGUCUUGAGUACAGUUGAGGUAGGCGGAAUUCGUGGUGUAGCGGUGAAAUGCUUAGAUAUCACGAAGAACUCCGAUGGCGAAGGCAGCUUACUAAACUGCCACUGACAUUGAUGCUCGAAAGUGUGGGUAUCAAACAGGAUUAGAUACCCUUGUAGUC